UACGUAGGGGGCAAGCGUUGUCCGGAUUUAUUGGGCGUAAAGAGCGUGUAGGCGGCCAGGGAGGUCAGCUGUGAAAACUCGAGGCUCAACCUCGAGACGUCGGUUGAAACCAUCUGGCUAGAGUCCGGAAGAGGAGAGUGGAAUUCCUGGUGUAGCGGUGAAAUGCGCAGAUAUCAGGAAGAACACCCGUGGCGAAGGCGGCUCUCUGGGACGGUACUGACGCUGAGACGCGAAAGCGUGGGGAGCGAACAGG
This 253-nucleotide ribosomal RNA is filed under the name uncultured bacterium. RNAcentral describes it as "partial 16S ribosomal RNA". It matches the Rfam family "Bacterial small subunit ribosomal RNA", at positions 524 to 776 of the family's 1533-position model. The record is from RNAcentral.